CAAAACUAUACGUGUCAUUCUCUUCUUUAAAAAGUCACUGUGCAUCUGCUACCUGCAUGGAGUCUCUGUCAUAUCCUUACUUCACUCUUGGAUUCUCCUUCAAACAGCACAGAUGUCUGCUUUGUUGAAACCUCUAUCUUACAUCUUGGAGUAGGGAAGAAGACAACUAUACAUUCUAUUUAUGGCUGUACUUCAUGAUUGAAACCAAUGUGAACAAACAUCCUGACACUUGCUUUCAUAACCUAGACGAUUUAAUAUUAUG
RNAcentral lists this long non-coding RNA (262 nucleotides) under Fukomys damarensis (Damara mole-rat). Its description in RNAcentral is "lncRNA (ENSFDAG00000023845.1)". The record is from RNAcentral. Lineage: Eukaryota; Metazoa; Chordata; Mammalia; Rodentia; Bathyergidae.